AGAGUUUGAUCAUGGCUCAGAUUGAACGCUGGCGGUAUGCUUAACACAUGCAAGUCGAACGGUAACAAGCCUUCGGGCGCUGACGAGUGGCGGACGGGUGAGUAACGCGUAGGAAUCUGCCUCAUAGUGGGGGACAACUUGGGGAAACUCAAGCUAAUACCGCAUACGCCCUACGGGGGAAAGCGGGGGACCUUCGGGCCUCGCGCUAUGAGAUGAGCCUGCGUUAGAUUAGCUAGUUGGUGGGGUAAAGGCCUACCAAGGCGACGAUCUAUAGCUGGUCUGAGAGGACGAUCAGCCACACUGGGACUGAGACACGGCCCAGACUCCUACGGGAGGCAGCAGUGGGGAAUAUUGGACAAUGGGCGCAAGCCUGAUCCAGCAAUACCGCGUGUGUGAAGAAGGCCUGAGGGUUGUAAAGCACUUUCAAUUGGGAGGAAAACCUGCCGGUCAAUACCCGGCAGCUUGACAUUACCUUUAGAAGAAGCACCGGCUAACUCCGUGCCAGCAGCCGCGGUAAUACGGAGGGUGCGAGCGUUAAUCGGAAUUACUGGGCGUAAAGCGUGCGUAGGCGGUUAUUUAAGUCAGAUGUGAAAGCCCCGGGCUUAACCUGGGAACUGCAUUUGAUACUGGGUAACUAGAGUUUAGUAGAGGAGAGUGGAAUUUCAGGUGUAGCGGUGAAAUGCGUAGAGAUCUGAAGGAACACCAGUGGCGAAGGCGACUCUCUGGACUAAAACUGACGCUGAGGUACGAAAGCGUGGGUAGCAAACAGGAUUAGAUACCCUGGUAGUCCACGCCGUAAACGAUGUCAACUAGCCGUUGGGCCUUUUAACAGGCUUAGUGGCGCAGCUAACGCAUUAAGUUGACCGCCUGGGGAGUACGGCCGCAAGGUUAAAACUCAAAUGAAUUGACGGGGGCCCGCACAAGCGGUGGAGCAUGUGGUUUAAUUCGAUGCAACGCGAAGAACCUUACCUACCCUUGACAUCCAGAGAAUCUGUUAGAGAUAGCGGAGUG
Molecule: ribosomal RNA, 1011 nt
Filed under: Methylobacter sp. LW1
Lineage: Bacteria; Pseudomonadati; Pseudomonadota; Gammaproteobacteria; Methylococcales; Methylococcaceae
Description: bacterial SSU rRNA
Rfam family: Bacterial small subunit ribosomal RNA
Source: RNAcentral